This is a long non-coding RNA of Rhagoletis zephyria (snowberry fruit fly), 111 nucleotides long. RefSeq lists it as uncharacterized. Lineage: Eukaryota; Metazoa; Arthropoda; Insecta; Diptera; Tephritidae. The record is from RefSeq and is a predicted model, not a curated record.
GAAAAUUUUUUUUGAGGGGGGCUGCCACCUAUUUGGAAAUUGUAACUCAGUUAAAUUGAUAAAGUAAAUGCAAUGUUGGCAUGUGGGUGUCUAACUAAAGAGUUUUAAAAA